CAACAUAAAGGCCAUACAUCUGAUAAUAAAGAUUAUAAUCACAAACUUAGUUAUCAUUUGUCUCAGAACUACGUUGGGAUGUAUUAUUGGAUGACUCAGGUGUAUUAUUGGAUGACUCAGGUGUUGAAGAUGAAUUACCAUUGCCGGAUGAAAACAAACUGCUAAAAGGCCACGGAAGUGGUAGAGAGAAGCGUCUUGUAUUUUCACUCCUUCCACCCCGUUCUCCACCUUCACUUCCACUAGCGGCAGCAUUAUUGCCUCCUGCAUCAUUGUUAUUGCUACCAUUCCUAGACACCCUUGACUCCAGUUUUGAUUCAUCUGAAGGUAACUGAUAGCGACAAACAGGGCACGAGCUAUGAAGUUCCAACCACGGUAGAAUACACCCAAUAUGGAACCUAUGCU
RNAcentral lists this long non-coding RNA (402 nucleotides) under Coffea arabica (coffee). RNAcentral's name for it is "long non-coding RNA (CARA_LNC000414)". The record is from RNAcentral. Lineage: Eukaryota; Viridiplantae; Streptophyta; Magnoliopsida; Gentianales; Rubiaceae.